RNA transcript from Pipistrellus kuhlii (Kuhl's pipistrelle), 1938 nucleotides. It is a transcript of the gene named NKD inhibitor of WNT signaling pathway 1, with no coding region annotated. The record is from RefSeq and is a predicted model, not a curated record. NCBI's taxonomy places the organism in Eukaryota, Metazoa, Chordata, Mammalia, Chiroptera, Vespertilionidae. The transcript is spliced from 12 exons.
CGGCGCGGCGGCGUCAGUCGGCGGCAGGAGCUGGUCCCGGCGCCGCCUCGGGCUCCGCUGGGCUCGGGAGCCGCUCCCGGAGGCGGAGGAGGCGGAGGCGGCGGCGGCGGCGGCGGAGGAGGAGGAGAGCCAGGCCGGGGCGGCAGCCGCGGGCCCGCGGGCCGGGCGAUGGCUUAGGGCGCCCCGCCGCCGCGCCCCCAGCAUGGGGAAACUUCACUCCAAGCCGGCCGCCGUGUGCAAGCGCAGGGAGAGCCCGGAAGGUGACAGCUUCGCCGUGAGCGCCGCCUGGGCCCGGAAGGGCAUCGAGGAGUGGAUCGGGUGGCAGCGCUGCCCGGGCGGCGGCUCCGGACCCCGACAGCUGCGGGCGGCGGGCACGGCCGGCAGAGGAACCCGGGAGCUGGUGGGCGAGGUUUUCAGAGAGAUACUCAGCGAGGAGGAGGAGGAGGAGGAGGAGGAAGACUUCCGACUGGAAGUGGCCCUGCCCCCCGAGAAGACCAGCGGGCUGGCCAGUGGCGAUGAGAAGAGGAUGGAGAAGCCGAGCGAAUCCUGUCCGGGCUCCAAGAAGCAGCUGAAGCUGGAGGAGCUGCAGUGUGACGUGUCCGUGGAGGAGGACAGCCGGCAGGAGUGGACCUUCACCCUGUACGACUUCGACAACAAUGGCAAGGUCACCCGGGAGGACAUCACCAGCCUGCUGCACACCAUCUACGAGGUGGUCGACUCCUCCGUCAACCACUCCCCGGCGUCCAGCAAGACGCUGCGGGUGAAGCUCUCGGUGGCCCCCGACGGGAGCCUGGGCCGGAGGAGCCUCCUGCUCCAGCACCCCGACCUGCAGAGCGCCAGGCCCCGAGCGGAGACCAAGCCGGCGGAGGAGCUGCGCAGCUGGGACAAGAGGCAGCGGGCCCCGCUCAGGUUCCAGGGGGACAGCCGCCUGGAGCAGCCCGGCUGCUACCACCCGUGCGUGGAUGAGAACAUUGAGAGGAGAAACCACUACUUAGACCUCGCUGGGAUAGAGAACUACACGUCCCAGUUCGGGCCUGGCUCCCCGUCCGUGGCCCAGAAGUCAGAACUGCCCCCCCGCGCCUCCAACCCGACGCGGUCCCGCUCCCAUGAGCCAGAAGCCGUCCACGCCCCCCACCGGAAGCCCCCGGGCGCGGACCCCGGCCCGGCCCACGGCCCGGACGCCCCGCCCGCCAAGGCCCUGGAGGCCCAGCAGCGGCUCCGCGGCGCCCAGGAUGGGAGCAGGCACUUUGUGAGGUCCCCCAAGGCCCAGGGCAGGAACGCGGGCGUGGGCCACGCGGCCAGGGGGCCCAGGGGCAAGCCGCCUCCGGGACCCGCCGUGCCCGCGGCGUCCCCGGCCGCCCACCCGGCCGCCGGCCCGGGCCUCCUCCCCGCCCCGGCGCCCCUCGGGCACCGGAAGCACCGGCACCGGGCCAGGGAGGGCCCCCCGGGGGGCCGGGCCCCGCAGGCCCCCGUCCGGGACCACGUGCGGGAGCCGCCCGCGCCGGCCGCGGUGGGCCAUGACGGCCAGGCCGGCCAGGCGGUGCAGAGACACGAGCACCACCACCACCAUGAGCACCACCACCACUACCACCACUUCUACCAGACCUAGGCCCGGCCCUGCCUCACCAGGGCCCUCCCCCCAGGCAGCCUUAUCCUAUUAAUUAUUGUUAUCCCGACGGCUGUUGUUAUUAAUAAUUAUUGUUACUCCACUAAUACCCGGCUCGCCUCCGUGCAGACGGCCCAUGGACACACAGAACUAACCCUUAUUUAUACGCCGUGCGGACUGUGGGCCGGGGCGCCGCCCGGAGACGCCGGAGGCUCCCUCAGGCCCGCGGCUCAGUCCAGGUACUCGCGCACGGCCAGCUCCUUGAGCGUGAGGCCCCGCGGGCCGGGCCUGCGCAGCUGGCAGUCCUCCAGGCGCCGCUGCAGGGGCGCGCA